UACCUGGUCUCCUUUCAUUAAAAAGAUAGGU
RNAcentral lists this non-coding RNA (31 nucleotides) under Mus musculus (house mouse). The record is from RNAcentral. Lineage: Eukaryota; Metazoa; Chordata; Mammalia; Rodentia; Muridae.